RNAcentral lists this transfer RNA (88 nucleotides) under Acidobacteriota bacterium. RNAcentral's name for it is "Acidobacteria bacterium (activated sludge metagenome) tRNA-Leu". It matches the Rfam family "tRNA". Rfam says of the family: Transfer RNA (tRNA) molecules are approximately 80 nucleotides in length. Their secondary structure includes four short double-helical elements and three loops (D, anti-codon, and T loops). Further hydrogen bonds mediate the characteristic L-shaped molecular structure. tRNAs have two regions of fundamental functional importance: the anti-codon, which is responsible for specific mRNA codon recognition, and the 3' end, to which the tRNAs corresponding amino acid is attached (by aminoacyl-tRNA synthetases). tRNAs cope with the degeneracy of the genetic code in two manners: having more than one tRNA (with a specific anti-codon) for a particular amino acid; and 'wobble' base-pairing, i.e. permitting non-standard base-pairing at the 3rd anti-codon position. The record is from RNAcentral. Lineage: Bacteria; Pseudomonadati; Acidobacteriota. RNAcentral also lists the same sequence under 2 other names.
GCCGGGGUGGCGAAAUUGGUAUACGCACUAGACUCAAAAUCUAGCGGGCUUAACGCCCAUGACGGUUCGACUCCGUCCCUCGGUACCA